UUUUAUUGCUUAACGUCUAUUAUGUACCUACCUACAAACAAUGUAUUUAAACCAUUAUGUUCCAAUUAACAGAUUCCACUAAUACUGCAUCCCAAUCCAGUACAACCCAGUGGAAGAAUGACCAGAAAUGCAAAAAUAUUUCAAGAAACUAUGGGAUAUCUUCUCGUCGUAGUCAACAUGAGACACAUUCUCUUGAAGGUUCUACCGAAAAGCAAAGAGGGGGUGAUCGGAAAGGAGCAAAAUGUUCAAGAAAACACUUAAUGACUAACUGUAAUAACUGAAAAUGAAGGUUUUUCUAAUAAAGGCAAGUGCCAUACCGUAUUAAUAUAUUUUGUGAUUAUGCAUGUAUUAAUUAAUAAACGUUUUAAAAUUAAAA
Molecule: long non-coding RNA, 376 nt
Organism: Pectinophora gossypiella (pink bollworm)
Lineage: Eukaryota; Metazoa; Arthropoda; Insecta; Lepidoptera; Gelechiidae
Exons: 2
Source: RefSeq, a predicted model, not a curated record